GAGACUUUCUUUAUAGUAGACAUUUAUCCUCCUGAAAUCCACUUGAGGAUUUUGGAAGCCAAAGUCAAGGCAUUGUAAACCUAGGAGCACCUCUGGUUGACACACCCCUAUCACGGUGCAGGUGGCCUGAGCUUUAGGAGCAGCCUGGAGCUUGAGUGAAUAAUGGACAGGGGAGAUGGUUUAUUCACAAUUCUAGGGAAGAAGGAAAUGAACAUUAUACAGAAACCAUUGGUAACAGAUGAAGAAAUGCGUGAAUUAUAUUCAUAGACAUAAGUUAAAUAUCUUAUCUUAGAGAUAAGAGGUGACAUAUAUUGUCAGGAACUGGAAUUGAUACACACAGGAUAACUCAGGGAGGAGACUCUUGGCGAGCAGUGUGUAGGGUAUAACUGGGACAUUGGUUGGCCUAGAAAACAUGUUUCAUUGUGCAGACAUGUCUCUUGGGCAGAAUAAGCCAGGCUUUGCUCCAGGCACAAACAUUAAAAAAAAUGAAAUGUGAAAUCAUUUCUAGAGAUUCAUUGUCUCCCCCAAGAGUUCUAAACCCAUUAUGGUCACAGCAUGCCUAAUUGGCGCUUUAGGGGGUAUAUUAAUAGCAAACAUUGUAAAGUUCUUAGAACUAUAUAAAGUCUUCCUUUCAAUUUUGUAAACAUAAUGUAUAACUUUACUGACCUCCUGAAUGAUAACAUUAACAGGGAAAAAUGCAGAGCAUAAUAAUACUUCUGUUAUCACUUAUUGAUAUCCCCUUGGCUUGCCAAUAGUCCCUGUUCCUGUGAUAAGAGGUAAAGGAAACAGAAGACAAAAAUAGGAUUGGUGAUGAGAAGUCAGGUGGCAAGGCCCUCCUUCUUUUCUUCUAAUACCUGUUGGUCUGUUUGUUUUCAGUACCAUGGUGCAGUUAUGAUGCCUUUUCUCUAGUGGUCACUGUUGAAAAGCUGUGUAGUUAGAACUGAACAUAUCUCUGGUGGGGGACAUAAAAUAAGUCCAAUUUUGAUUUUCCCAUCUAACUUUAGGAUUAAAGUUAGAUGGUCAUGUAAAAUUACUGUUAGGGAAUUAAACNUUUAGGGCUGCACUGGCAGCCUAUGGACGUUCCCAGGCUAGGGGUCUAAUUGGAGCUGUAGCCACCAGCCUAUGCCACAGCAACACCAGAUCUGAGCCAUAUCUGUGACCUACACCACAGCUUAUGGCAAUGCCAGAUCCUUAACCCACUGAGCGAGGCCAGGGAUUGAACCUGCGUCCUCAUGGAUGCCAGUCAGGUUCAUUAACUGCUGAGCCAUGAUCCUGGCUCUAUUUGCCUUACUAGAAACAUACAUCUGAGCAUACAUUUAUACAUCAAGCAUAAUUAUGAAUAAGUAAUAUAACUCUGUAAUAAAUAGAUGAUCAUAUAAAAUUAUAAAAUAUAUAAUAUGAAACUUCAUAAAUAAUUUAUAUUGUUCCUAUUGCAAAUGGGCUAAUUUCACAGCAUUCGACCUGAGAAAUAAACUAUAUUCAGGCAUGUGAGCUUGGUCUAGUGCACAUAGAUGUGUUUAUUCAGUUCAUCAGAGAUUAUAAAUUCUGAGUCUGUUUCAUCUUUCUAUCUCCCAAGUUCCCUAAAUAUUUAUUGAUGAAAUAAAUACUGGAUAAAUGAAUAAAUUAAUAAAUGAGCUGACUUUAGGAGUUCCCAUCAUGGCUCAGUGGAAACAAAUCUGGCUAGUACCCAUGAGGAUGCAGGUUCGAUCCUUGGCCUUGCUCAGUGGGUUAGGGAUCUGGCGUUGCCGUGAGCUGUGGUGUAGUUUGAAGAUGUGGCUCGGAUCUGGUGUUGCUGUGGCUGUGGUGUAGGCCAGUGGCUACAGCUUGGAUUCAAUCCCUAGCCUAGGAAUCUCCAUAUGCCAUGAGUGUAGCCCUAAAGAGGCAAAACAUACACACAUACACAAACCCAAACAAACAAACAAAAAAAAAAAACAAAUAGACUUUCAUUUUUUAAAUACCCCUUACAUUAAUGUACAAGAUUCUGUAUUUUUAACUUAAAAUGUUUUUUGUUAGAAUCUAACUAUGAAAUUGUAAUCACUUUUUAGAAGUGUUAGUUUCUCUCUAUGCUGCUUCUACUUUCUUGAUGUCUUCAUCAUUGAAAUUUUAAAAGAGAGAAAAAUCACUUUUCUGCUGUACCCAAGCACCUUUUGAAUAGGUGCCUUUUGAAUUCAGUUUACUGCCUGCUGGGCUCAUUUGCCAAGAUUCCUUUGAGGCACAACUCUUAGCUUUCUAAGUUUUGAAUUAAAAGGUAUUUCUCAGUUACCUCAAAUUAUGUCUCAGAUGAUCCAGCUGGCCAAACAAGGCUGGGAUGAGUGGUACGGGUCUCGUCUUCAUAAGAUGAAGGAUGCAAGCCACUAAUUUGGCCCCCCAAGGAUAGAGAAUGAAUAGAUCUUUAUCCUUUUACUCCACCCCUCACACUCCUGUUCACCUCUUUCAUGUCUUUUGAUUGAAGGAGACGGCUUCUGUUACUGUUCAAUGAGUGGAAAAAUGACUCCCCUGUGUGUGUCUGGGACUUUGUGUCUCGGGCGGGUGGGGUGGUGCUCACAUUGAUCACUCUGCAGAGGUGUGUUCGCUAGUCCAGCCAUUUUCCAAAUCAAACCAGGUCUCUCUGGGAGCCCUUUGUGAUCCGUUUAUUUACUCAUUAGGUUUCAUUUUAUUUUUGUUUUUUCCCCGACCAGACACUGUUCUUCUGACCCAUGAGAAGACCUGUGUUCCCCACUUAACAUGGUCUCUCCGAAGCACUCCUUUUCCUGUCCUGACUGUAAGAAUGAGCUACAUUUCCUUUUUCCAUGUCCCUGAUAGGCUGGUGCUAAGUUGCAUCCAUGGUGAAGAAAUUUUAAACAAGUCAAAAGAUGUGAGAUUCUGUCCAACUGUGAUUCUUGGAAUUCAGUAGUUAAGUUAUGGAACUAAAAUAGGCUUAAGAAUUUGGAGUGUAGGGCACUUGUUUGCCAAUUUAGAGUUUUUAGGUAGGAAAAGCGGCAAAUGGUUAUUUUUUUUCCUAUUUAUCAUCUGGCACUCAUUUUAUUACUAGCACUUAUUGUAAAUUACAGGGUUAAUGUAUUUAUUCAAACCUUUAAUAGUUCUGCUCCCUACCAAAUUUGUCUCUUAACUGCAUGGAAAAUAUUCUCCAUACCAAACUUAGGAGAAGUGUAUUUUAUUUCCCCUUAAAAUAUUUUUGGAAUUUGAGGCACUGAAUGGUUUGUGUUUCUGUAGGUACAUGAAUGCCAAUAUAUUUCCCAAUGAAGCAAAAUUGAAAAGACGUACAUACAGAAAUGCAUUGCAAGUAUGUGAGGGUAUCUAGGGGUAUAAUAUUGCUUCAUUUUUGAGAGCUCUGAUUAAACAGACACUUUCUGCAGCACUGACUUUGUACAGAUGGCAGGACUUAAACCAGAGAUGCUGAAAGGGCUCUCUGAAAUUAAGCCAAGAAAUGGAUCAAACUUUCUCCACUGAAAAUUUGGGCAAAUAAAAACACCUGAAAAUAUGUGCUAUUUUCAAGUAUAUGCAUAGUUGAUGUAUGUAGAUCUUUUACCCCUGUUUUUGGUCAUGGAAUUGUUUAUGCCAUACCUGCCAUACGCUUGUGAAGUCUUAAAAAUACAUGCCUAUUUAACAGAGAAAGUGGCUAGUUAUAGAGCAGUUUUUCCCUGCCUUGGCUGUUUAAAACUGCUUUGGACAACUCCUAUGCAAAUCUUUUAGAUGGUCUGAGGUUUUCCUGUUUUUCCCUGGUGAUCAUCUCUUUCCACCUUAACUCUGGUCCUCUCUUUUCCCCAACUAGUUCUUGCUUAAAAACAAAAUCCUCUGCUUUACAUCAUGUACAUGUCUACUAGAUCUCCAUAUUUUCUGCUCUAAGAUCUUCCCUAAAUAGUGGUUAUCAUGCAAAAUAAAAUAAACAGAAAUUUUACCCUUUCUGUAGUUCAGAACAUGCGGUUUUGCCCAAGGAACAGAUGAGCCCUCUCGUUCGUCCUCUUGACUGGGUGCAAAUACUUCCUUAUUCUUGCAUGACAUCUGAGGCUAGGGAGCCACCAGAUAGUGUGGGAGGAGAAUUCAACUAACCACCUCUUACAUGCCUUAGAGAAAAAAAAAGUAAAAUGAAAUUUUCAAAGAAGGGAAAAGUUAUUUUCUCCACAGGGGUCUGUUGAGCAUCUCCUCUAGAUGACUUAACAUCUGGGCAUAAACAUUGAUAAAUCAGGCAAAGUUUCUGCCUUCAAGAAGCUUACAUUCCAGUGAUGGGGAGAAAAACAAACAAAAUAAAAAUGAGCAAGAUUAGAAGCUAUGGAUCAGUAUGAGAAAGAAAAUGAAUACUUUCAUAAAAUGUGACAGUCUUAAAACAUGUAGGAUCUUAGAUUAUAUGUCAGAUGAGAUUUAUAAGAGAAGGUAUAACAGUUAUUUAUGUUGUGUAACAAAUUACCCCACAUCUAACAGCUUAAAAACUUUAAUUGUACACGUGCUUUUGGUGUAGGGAGAAACUGUUGAAAGGUUUUAAGCAAGAGAGUAACAAAAUGUCAUGAUGAUGUGUUGAACAAAAGUACUCUUGUAAAAACAGAAUUCGACCUGAAAAACUGUAACACUAAAGGGGAUGAGUUAGAUUAAGACUUUUGACUUUGACCUUUGAUAGUCAAACUCAUCAAAGAUGUGAUGUGCAAAUAUUUAGUCUACUCUGUUGAGUAAUAGAAUAGAAUUGAUCCAGGGAUUUCAAUGUGAAAUGGUGAGCUUCUUUGAAUCAGCCCUGGCCCCCAUUCUAUCAUCAAAAAGAGGCUCUACUUUUGACCUUGACCAUUUAUAGGAACUAAAAUCCACAGGGAAUUUCAAGCAGGAAUAUACCUAUUGAGGUAUUGUGUAUAAAAGUUUCAAAGGUCAAAUUGAAUUCUUGCUCAAGCAGUUGCGGCUUCUCCCUUUUGUUUGCCAGAUACAGUGUUCUUCACUCUAGUUUGUCCGGUUCCUUUCCCUGCUGUUAAAAGGCAGGGUUUAACUCAUUUUUAGAAAAUUGACUUCAGACAUAAAAGAAUAUCUCUUUCUUCUCUUGACAUCACACCCUAGCCUCUCAGCUCACUGGCCAGUGGUGAGUUUUGCCCUUUAUAAUGUGGUUCUAACCUCCAGAGAAAAUGCAGCCUUUUAUUUUAAAUGAGAUUAUUCUGCUCUGUUGCUCUGUGCAGGUGCUGAGAUUCUGGUCACGGUUCACUGACUUGGAGGAGGAAUGUAUUCAAUUUUUCUCUUAACUGCCUGCCAUACCCCUCAAAACAUUUUAGCAGUAAUGGAAUGUAGCAUGUAAAAAUGUUCUGGUUUCUGAUCCUAAUCAUGUACACAAAAUUAGCAUUUGCUCCAGCUCUAAUGGUUUGGUAUGACAUUCUUAUUUCAUCACUACUUACAUUUCUUUUUACUUUAGAACAGGAACAUUUGAAUUGCAUGUGGAGACUUACACAUAAUGUACCAGCUCCUUGAAUAUGAGUCUGCUAAACUUUGUGUGUCUUUAUUACUCAAAUAUUUCUAAGAGUUGAAAUAUAGCUGUGCUGUAGAGCUGAAAAUCCGUCUCUUGAUUCACUCUCCCACUGCACCCACACCCCACACCUAACUCCUCUGCUGGUAGUGACUGGUAAGUAUACUAUGUAUUCUGCUAUUUUCAGUCCUUUUUUUUUUCAUGUGAUUGCUCUGCCUGAAAUGUACUCUAACCUUACUUCUCUCAUGAAUUUAUACUUCUCUUUCAGUGUUCAAUACAAAUAUAACAUUCCCUGAGAAGCUUUCUCUGAUCCCUGUAAACAGAUCUAUCUCCACUUCCCACCAUAAACCCAUGCUAGGACAUUGAGGCCUCUGCAAAGACCAUGUAGUUCUAAGUAUCAUAACUGUAUAAUGAUAUAACUCAAUUCAUAGUCUUUGAUAUAUCAUAGGCUCAUCAAUAUUUAUCUUAACCAGUCUGCCCAAAACCAUUUAUAGUAAUCAAUGCAAAAUAUUUCACUGUUUCCAAGCAAAUAUGCUGUCUCCUUUGUUCAUCAGAAUCUUGUAACCAC
RNAcentral lists this long non-coding RNA (5999 nucleotides) under Sus scrofa (pig). Its description in RNAcentral is "lncRNA (ENSSSCG00035017682.1)". Lineage: Eukaryota; Metazoa; Chordata; Mammalia; Artiodactyla; Suidae. The record is from RNAcentral.